GGUGCUCGAGUGGCGAACGGGUGAGUAACACGUGAGUAACCUGCCCUUAGACUUUGGGAUAACUUCAGGAAACUGGGGCUAAUACCGGAUAGGAGCUCCUGCUGCAUGGUGGGGGUUGGAAAGUUUCGGCGGUUGGGGAUGGACUCGCGGCUUAUCAGCUUGUUGGUGGGGUAGUGGCUUACCAAGGCUUUGACGGGUAGCCGGCCUGAGAGGGUGACCGGCCACAUUGGGACUGAGAUACGGCCCAG
Molecule: ribosomal RNA, 248 nt
Filed under: uncultured Actinomycetales bacterium
Lineage: Bacteria; Bacillati; Actinomycetota; Actinomycetes; Actinomycetales
Description: partial 16S ribosomal RNA
Rfam family: Bacterial small subunit ribosomal RNA
Source: RNAcentral